UCAGCAGCCAAGCCAUGAGGAGAAGGGACAUGUGAGCAGAGGACAAAGCUUGAGCACAGGCAGAAGGGCAUGAAAUGUGACUGGACCCCCAGGCAGGCUGGACUGGCCAGAAGGCGGAAGCACCUGGCUGGAGGGCCACUUGGCACCAGAGGGAGGAGGUGUUUUUGUGCAGCGCCAAGAGGCUGGGCUUGAUUCCAUAGGAACAAGGCGUACCUUUAAGCAGGGAGUGCUUUUGAGGAAGUACCAAUGGAUGUUGGAAAGGAAUCAUUAAAGUGAAAAACUAGGCAGUGAGAACUGUUAGGACAUGAAAAAUAAGAGCCUGACCAAGGAAGAAGGCAGAUCAGGAAAUGUUUCAGACAUAGGAAACAACGGUUAAUGAUCUUGUUUGUUUUUUUUUUUCAUUUUUUUUCUCUUAGAUUUCAGAGGCUUUGAAAAAAUUUGGUAUCUCAGCAAAUGACACUUCAAUUCUAAUUGUUUACAUUGAAGAGGGAGAAAAACAAAUAAAUCAAGAAUACCUAAUAUCUCAAGUAGAAGGUCAUCAGGUUUCUCUGAAAAAUCUUCCUGAAAUAACGAAUAUUACAGAAGUCAAAAAGAUAUAUAAACUCUCUUCACAAGAAGAAAGUAUUGGGACAUUAUUGGAUGGUAUCAUUUGUAGAAUGUCAACAAAAGAUGUUUUGUGAAAUGUCAGAAAUAUUAACAAAAAUUCUCAGCAUUAAAGAAAACAUUGAUUUUC
This 733-nucleotide small RNA is filed under the name Pongo abelii (Sumatran orangutan). RNAcentral describes it as "processed transcript". Lineage: Eukaryota; Metazoa; Chordata; Mammalia; Primates; Hominidae. The record is from RNAcentral.